This is a non-coding RNA of Felis catus (domestic cat), 85 nucleotides long. The record is from Rfam. NCBI's taxonomy places the organism in Eukaryota, Metazoa, Chordata, Mammalia, Carnivora, Felidae.
GCCUGGGUGGCUCAGUCGGUUAAGCAUCUGACUUCGGCUCAGGUCAUGAUCUCACGGUUUGUGAGUUCGAGCCCCGUGUCAGGCU